This 253-nucleotide ribosomal RNA is filed under the name uncultured bacterium. RNAcentral's name for it is "partial 16S ribosomal RNA". It matches the Rfam family "Bacterial small subunit ribosomal RNA", at positions 524 to 776 of the family's 1533-position model. The record is from RNAcentral.
UACAGAGGGGGCAAGCGUUGUUCGGAAUUACUGGGCGUAAAGGGCGCGUAGGCGGCCUGUUAAGUCGAACGUGAAAUCCCUCGGCUUAACCGGGGAACUGCGUCUGAUACUGGAUGGCUUGAGAUUGGGAGAGGGAUGCGGAAUUCCAGGUGUAGCGGUGAAAUGCGUAGAUAUCUGGAGGAACACCGGUGGCGAAGGCGGCAUCCUGGACCAACACUGACACUGAGGAGCGAAAGCCAGGGGAGCAAACGGG